GGCCAGUCCGUGUCCGUGCGCCUCACACAACGACGGAAAGCUCUCUGCUCCUCCGACCCGAUCCGAGCCUAUCUUCCUCCUCCUCCUCGCCCCAACUUGACGCGAGCGGGCAAACCCUAGCCUAGCCGCCAUGGUUCCUUCUCUCCACCCUGCACCACCUUGUCGGGAGAUCCUCCGUGCGCGCCUCUCAUCCUAGUCCUAGAGAGAGAAGAAGAAGAGAUUAACUCCAUCUGUCGGUCGCCUCUCAUCCUCAAGGAAAACUUGCGGUGACGCGCCCUGGUGCUGGAUCGAUCUGGCCCUCCCUCCUUAGAGAGAUUUGCCGCUGGCCGGCGGACGAGCAAGCAGCGACCGGCCGUAGAGUAGAGGCAGGAGAAAGCGCCGGGGAAGGGGAAGAAACGGAUCUCCCCUCCCCUCCCCUCCCCUUUGCCCACUGUUCCUCUCAUGACCCUCAGUCAGAUGAGAUCCAUCCGUCCGCCUCAUCUCAUCUCAUCUCAUCUCAUCUCAUCUGCUGUAUUGUAUUGUAUUGUAUUGUAUUGUUUUCGAGUCUACUAUUCCAUGUUUCACACAUCUGCAAACGAUUCCUUCUCAUCUUCUUUCCUCUCUCUUGUUCUUUCUUCUCACUAGAAUAGAAUAGAAUAGAAAGAAAGUUUUCUCUGGCUAUUCUGUAUUUUCGCCGAGUUAAAAUAUCUUCAGCUGAUGAUUUACAUCUGCUUUUCGUGGAUGCGUUUUUUUUUGGUUCCUUUGCCCUCUGUUCUCUUCUCUUCUUCUCAUGUCACAGACACAUCCGUCUCUCGUCUCUAGUUUUUGACUGUUUAUUAAAUUUCACGAUUUCCCUUAAUUUGUUUCUUCACCUUUCUGACCCGCAGUCUUUUUUUUUUACCUCUCUUUGGGGAAACAGGUACCCCCUGUUCUUCAGCACGGACGCCUUUCUCGACAUCAAGGACGGAGCGGAUGGCAAAGAGGCAAAGACACAAUUGAAUAAGAGGAGGAGGCAACAAUCAUUCCCUCGUGCACGUACCAAUAUCUUGCUAAGUAACCUUUCCCUUUUACUUUGUUAUUAUUAUAAUUGAUGAAUUUCUUGGUCACAUAAUGCUUUCUGGUCUAUGGAUUUCUUGAUAGCUUCACAGCACAACUCCCAAGUGUGUUCCACCUUAGAAGCCAACAGGAAAUAAAUAUACAUCCAUCAUUUGCAUCUAAAACCAAUUUCAUCCAAAGAUAGCACGCCCCCUCGUAUUUUGGGUCAAACCUUGACUAACAAAAAUACAAUUUAUGUGCUACACAAAGUAUAUCAUUGGAUUUGUAUUUUAAAGAGGAUUUCCAACCGUAUAACUUUGUGACAUAGUUUUAUUUUAUUAGUUAAAUUUAUACUCAAAGCUUGGCCCUAAAUACGAGGUGGCCAAUAAACCCAAACCGAGUGAGUAAUUGCUAGACCACACACACAUAGUGCACCAGUAAGGCCUCCUUUGGUUUACAUCAAGUUUGUAGGAAUUUUGUAGGAUAACGGUUCCUACAGAAAAUAUCCCCUUAGAGCCCUUUGGUCUGCAGGAAUGAAUUUGUAUUCCAAUGCAAAAUUGGUUCCUAUCCUUCACAUUUCAAAGGAAUUAAAAAAAAAUUAGCUCAGACCUCGGGCCUCUUUGAUUCCCAUGAUUUCCAAAACAUUGGGAUAAGAAAAAUGUAGGAACAGGAUCAUGUCAGGAUGUUUGAUUGUGCAUAGGAAGAAUGUAUGAUUCUUUCAAAGAGAUUGGAGUAGAUGAAUUUUUUUCCCAUGAAAUUUAGUGCAAAUGGAUCCUAAAGAAAAGAAAAACCACAUGGUUUGGAAUCCAAUGAAUCAAAUAAACCACAUAAGGAAAAAUUCCUAAGGAUUAGAAUCACAGAUUGUGCAUUUCCAAUAAUUUCCAAGCACCAUCCAAUCAGUAACAUUUGCAUGAAAACCAUAUCACUGCCAAACCAUCACAGAUAGCACAUUUCCAAUAAUUUCCAAGCACCAUCCAAUCAAUAACAUUUGCGUGAAACUAUAUUACACUCCCAAACCAUCACAGAUAGCACGUUUCCAAGCACCAUCCAAUCAAUAACAUUUGCAUGAAAACUAUAUUACACUCCCAAACCAUCACAGAUAGCACGUUUCCAAGCACCAUCCAAUCAAUAACAUUUGCAUGAAAACUAUAUUACACUCCCAAACCAUCACAGAUAGCACAUUUCCAAUAAUUUUCUAGUCAUGCUCCCGGUCUUUUGCAAAUAUAGAGCAGUUCAAAGUAAGUUCACAGACAUGACCACCAAACAUUAGACCUCGCUUUGGUUUAAACGAAUGUUUUAGCGCAUUUUCUAAACCGAAGGCUUGAAUAGUGCCACCAUAGGAAAUUUCCUAUUCCUAAGUGUUCCCACUUCUACUUUUUGAACAAAAAGAGGCCUAAGUUUCCAUAGGUUUCUACAGAUCAGUGACAAACAGGAUUAAAACAUAUAUGACUGCUUAGCUUGACAAGCUUAUUAUCACCAGGAAUGAAAACAACCAAUGAGUUCACAAAGCAUGUAUCGAUUUCUCAUAAGAAUUAGCACAAACACCUAGAGGGAUCAACAUAGACUCUCCCAGGUUCACAGGCAAAACUCGGGACCAUGCAUGUAUUUUGCAAAUCUUUAUGUCCCCGUAUAAUGCUCCUAUGUGCUUGGUGUGUUGUACAGGGUGGAUUGCCAUAAAUAAAAUAGAAGAAGAAUGGAAGUUGAUCCCCAGAAAAUAAAAGAAUAGGAAAACAAGCAAGUUGGCAGUAUCAUUGUAUUUCCAACGCUGUAGCUGGAUGUAUUUUAUAUACCUAUGCCAUCACAGAUAACACAUUUCCGAUAAUUUCCAAGCAUGCCCCCGGUCUUUUGCAAAUAUGUAGCAGUACAAAGUUCACAGACAUGACCCCCCAAACAUUAGGCUCGCUUGGUUUAAACAAAUUUUGUAGCGCAUUUUCUAAACCGAAGGCUUGAAUAGUGCCACCAUAGGAAAAUUUCCAAUUCCUAUGCGUUUCCACUUUCCAUUGAUCCAAAAGAGUACUAGGUUUCCGCAGGUUUUGUCAGAUCAGCGACAAACAGGAUAAAAACAUGUAUGACUGCUUAGCAUGACACACUUAUUAUCAUCAGGAAAAUAACCAAAAAGUUCAAAAAACAUGCAUUAAUUUCGCAUAAGAAUUAGCACAAACACCUAGAGGGAUCAAUGUAGACUCUCCCAAGCUCACAGGCAAAAAAUUUCAAAAAGAAAAAGCUCACAGGCAAAGCUUGUGACCAUGCAUGCAUUCUGCAAAUCUUUAUCCCCCCUAACGUUGCUAUGUGCUUGAUGUCUUGUACAAUGUGGGUUAUGUGCUGCUGUGUUCUUUCUGUCCAGUGUGAAAAAGUGGAAUGCCAUAAAUAGAAUAGAAGAAGAAUGGAAGUUGAUCCCCAGGAAAUAAAAGAAUAGGAAAACAAGCAAGUUGGCAGUAUUAUUGUAUUUCCAAGGCUGUAGCUGGACUGAUUUUCUGAAUGUUAAAUUACUGUAUCAGACUUGGUUACCAUCUAUCUAUUAUAUUAUAUACCUAUAUGACAGAAGACAUGAUGACGUAGCCAGAAGACUAGAGUAUGGGUGGAACUAAUAGCAUCUCAAUUCUUAAGAGAUGCAAUCUCUGUCCUUCCUGAGUGUGUAGGCUACCGGCAGAGCCGAUGUGCCGCUAAGGCCAGAGGCUGUAGCGGAAGCGGUCACCGGUGACGGUGGGGCUCAGAUCCCCAUCAUCGACUAAGCUGUGGUGUAUGCCUCGACAUUGCCUGCUAGGACCGGGGCUUGUUCCAGUUAAUUGACACGAUGUGGUGGAGGUAAUGAAGGCUAGCAUCCAAGAAUUCUUUGAGCUACCCGCCCGCAGCACCCAAGAAUGAACCAAAGGAGGCUGACUGAUGUAUAUUCCAUAAAUAAAAGCCAGUAAAACUGGUAUCGUAUCACAGGUUGGGUUAAUGAAGGCCAAGUAUUCCACAGCACAGCACAGCAUGCAAGCAUAUCAUCAUGAGGGAAAAAAGAGGCAGUCAAAUUUCUUGAUUACCCAGGCAAGGCCUAAUCAUCAUCAUCAUCAUGGCAAUAGCAAUAGAAUACUAGUAGAAGGUCCCAUGGGAAGAGCAGAAUCCCAUAAACAAGAAUAUUGCAGAGUACUAGUGGUAGGAUUGACAGAUCUGAAUUCCACAGCACAGCAUGCAAGCAAGCAAGCAUAUCAUCAUGAGGGAAAAAAGAGAUUCAUGCCCGGCAGUCAAAUUUCUUGAUUGCAAGAGAAACUAGUAGCACAGCACAGCAUGCAAGCAAGCAUAUCAUCAUGAGGGAAAAAAGAGGCAGUCAAAUUUCUUGAUUACCCAGACGAGACAAGACCAAAUCAGCAUCAUCAUGACUAGCACCAGUAGUAGUAGAAUCCAUCCCAUAAACAAUUGAUUGCAGACUAGUACUAGUAGUAGUAGGACCAGGGGAAGACAAAAAUUCAGGGAGCAAUUAGAAUUUAUUACAGGCCGAGGAGUAGCAGGACCGGACCGACGGAUCUACCUGUCCUGACCUCUAACCGUUGCGCUUUGGGUUCUCUGCUUUGCCCUUGGAAGAUGCGUUUGCCUUCCCCUUUUUGGUGGUGUCCUUUGCCGCCUUCUUGUCCUUC
Molecule: long non-coding RNA, 4631 nt
Organism: Triticum aestivum (bread wheat)
Lineage: Eukaryota; Viridiplantae; Streptophyta; Magnoliopsida; Poales; Poaceae
Exons: 3
Source: RefSeq, a predicted model, not a curated record